AGGGUUUGAUCCUGGCUCAGAACGAACGCUGGCGGCAGGCCUAACACAUGCAAGUCGAGCGCACCUUCGGGUGAGCGGCGGACGGGUUAGUAACGCGUGGGAACAUACCCUUCUCUAAGGAAUAGCCUCGGGAAACUGAGAGUAAUACCUUAUACGCCCUACGGGGGAAAGAUUUAUCGGAGAAGGAUUGGCCCGCGUUAGAUUAGAUAGUUGGUGGGGUAAUGGCCUACCAAGUCUACGAUCUAUAGCUGGUUUGAGAGGAUGAUCAGCAACACUGGGACUGAGACACGGCCCAGACUCCUACGGGAGGCAGCAGUGGGGAAUCUUAGACAAUGGGCGAAAGCCUGAUCUAGCCAUGCCGCGUGAGUGAUGAAGGCCUUAGGGUCGUAAAGCUCUUUCGCCAGAGAUGAUAAUGACAGUAUCUGGUAAAGAAACCCCGGCUAACUCCGUGCCAGCAGCCGCGGUAAUACGGAGGGGGUUAGCGUUGUUCGGAAUUACUGGGCGUAAAGCGUACGUAGGCGGACUAGUCAGUCAGAGGUGAAAUCCCAGGGCUCAACCCUGGAACUGCCUUUGAUACUGCUAGUCUUGAGUUCGAGAGAGGUGAGUGGAAUUCCGAGUGUAGAGGUGAAAUUCGUAGAUAUUCGGAGGAACACCAGUGGCGAAGGCGGCUCACUGGCUCGAUACUGACGCUGAGGUACGAAAGUGUGGGGAGCAAACAGGAUUAGAUACCCUGGUAGUCCACACC
RNAcentral lists this ribosomal RNA (745 nucleotides) under uncultured bacterium. RNAcentral describes it as "bacterial SSU rRNA". It matches the Rfam family "Bacterial small subunit ribosomal RNA", at positions 8 to 801 of the family's 1533-position model. The record is from RNAcentral.